CCUACGGGAGGCAGCAGUGGGGAAUAUUGCGCAAUGGGCGAAAGCCUGACGCAGCGACGCCGCGUGAGGGAUGAAGGUCUUCGGAUCGUAAACCUCUGUCAGCAGGGAAGAAAGGUCACUGUGCUAAUCAGUAGUGAAUUGACGGUACCUACAAAGGAAGCACCGGCUAACUCCGUGCCAGCAGCCGCGGUAAUACGGAGGGUGCAAGCGUUAAUCGGAAUUACUGGGCGUAAAGCGCUCGUAGGCGGUAGGUCAAGUCAAGUGUGAAAUCCCCGCGCUCAACGUGGGAACUGCCUUUGAAACUGGCAAACUAGAGUGUGUGAGAGGAGAGUGGAAUUCCAGGUGUAGUGGUGAAAUGCGGAGAUAUCUGGAGGAACAUCAGUGGCGAAGGCGACUAUCUGGCACAUAACUGACGCUGAGGAGCGAAAGCGUGGGUAGCAAACAGGAUUAGAUACCCCAGUAGUC
This 465-nucleotide ribosomal RNA is filed under the name uncultured bacterium. RNAcentral's name for it is "partial 16S ribosomal RNA". It matches the Rfam family "Bacterial small subunit ribosomal RNA", at positions 338 to 795 of the family's 1533-position model. The record is from RNAcentral.